UAGGCCUUUAGCUCAGUUGGUAGAGCAGCUGCCUUACAAGCAGCGGGUCAUCGGUUCGAAUCCGGUAGGGCCUAU
Molecule: transfer RNA, 75 nt
Filed under: Picochlorum sp. 'soloecismus'
Lineage: Eukaryota; Viridiplantae; Chlorophyta; Trebouxiophyceae
Description: tRNA-Val
Rfam family: tRNA
About the family: Transfer RNA (tRNA) molecules are approximately 80 nucleotides in length. Their secondary structure includes four short double-helical elements and three loops (D, anti-codon, and T loops).
Source: RNAcentral